This 1933-nucleotide long non-coding RNA is filed under the name Marmota monax (woodchuck). Lineage: Eukaryota; Metazoa; Chordata; Mammalia; Rodentia; Sciuridae. The record is from RNAcentral.
CUUGGAAAUGCUCUUGUCAAGUGAGGCAGCCUCUCAAGGAGACACGGGAAAUUGGAAAGCUGUCAAUUUGAGGAACAUCAAGUUUUUCUUCCACUACAGCUAUCGUCUGGCUAAUUUGUUCAAGCUAGUAACCCCCAAAGAAAGGGAAGACACAGGAGCGAGGAGGCAGGUGGUCCCAGAUGACUUGGGGAGCACUGAGAUGAAGCCUCAGUCUUUGGACUGAUCAUGAGCUCUGGCCCCGCCAGGCCACACAGCUUCCUACAUGCUCUCUGGAGAAGCACUUGCUGGGGACAGACACCACAUCUGUGCAGGCCCUGGAGGAGUUAGUGAGAGCUGCGUCAGAGACGGCAUGACUGGCUAGCGGUCAGAAACCGGAAGUGGGCCUGAGCCCCAGAGACGAAAGAGGAACUCCCCAGUGGAAGCCAAUCACAGACGGCAGAGAAGAAAGCAGCGUAGUGGUGUGGUAAGGCCGAGAGAGCAUCUUUCCUCAUAUUUUCCAAGACCUAGGCUUUUUUUAUCUUUUUUGAAAUUAUGCAGGGGAGUAUCACACAGAGGCCCUCUUACCACAGUGGCUUCACAACCCUUGCGUCGUUUGCAGGGCCAGCACCAGCCCUCAACUGUGACAGAGAGCCAGUGUCUGCACACACCCAGAAGAAACAAGUGAUUCACCUCUCCUGCAGUUGGAAGUACUUCACAGAUGCAUCCAUAAAACCAGAGGGAAUUUGCUAAGGAAGGAAGUUACUCAGAUGAUUUCAAAAUAAAACACCAAAUUAAAUCUUUUUACAGAAAAAGAAGACAGGAGUAGAUUCAUACAGAAUAUUUCUCAACUAAGGAGCAUGAGUACCUUUAUCGGUAGUAGCAUUUUUCAGUUUCUAACAAAGCAAUCUGGCUGAUUGUUAUAUCCAAAGAUAUGGACAUGCCAGAUACUCUGCCAACUAUUUAUAGAUGUCCACAUGUGGUUCCAGACUCCCCUCUGCCUGGGAUGCAGUGGUGAACAUUAGCCCUGUGGUACUUAUAUUCUGAUGGCGUGGGAGGCUCACGCCCACUCCCAGACCACACUUGCUGUAAGUCAAAUCCACAUGCCCAGAAAUCCAGGCAUGGCCUUCCUCCUGACUUCAAGCCUUUCCCGGACUCCAGCCAGACAAUCUAAGAUGUUCUGGACAGAUCUGAAAUCUAUUAGGUGAGUCUAAAGGCGUCUGUGGCAUUGGGUCUUGGUGAGUGUCUGAGUGGUCCCAGAGGGGAGAUUUGGGAUGGCCCAGCUCAGAGCAUGCCUCUGGGGGCACGUCCUGGGAUGGAUUGUCUGUCAGGCAUCUGAACUGCAGGGACAGCAGGGCUCUCUGUGAGCUCAUAAAAGCAACCUACCGAGGCCAGGGGGCUUUGUCAUUCCAGCACUGUGUCCCCGUGGGAUGUUUCUUUCAUCUGGCCACCUCCCAUCCAGGGGGCCACGAAGGCCUUUGGGGAGCAGCAGCCUCAUUGGGUCUGUGGUCCCAACAGCUGACCAACAUCAUACCACGUGGAUGUCUUCAAAGAGUGACACUAAAAUGGUUGUGGGAUUGCAAAGCUGAGGACCCAAGAAAAGCCAGCCAGCCUUCCUGGCCAAACUAGGUGGCGAGUCCGUCAGAGGCAAGGCAGGGGCUUCCUGUUUCUCCACAGCAUAUUUCCUCCCAGAUGUAAGAGGACAGAUUCUGUAUGUAUGAUUUCACAUUGGUCCUGGAGGACCCAAACUCACAGAGACCAAGCGGAGGGCAGCGGCCAGGGCCUGGGAGGAAGGGCACAGUUACAUUCAGUGGGAACAGAGUUUCUUGGCAAAGACAGGAGAGUCCUGGAGGUGAUCGGUGGCACAUCAUGUGAAUGUACUCGACACCAUUUAAAAAUGUCUAAGAUGGCGAAUUUUAUGUUUUACAAUAAAAAGUGAUGGAAAUGUUUAUUUUGA